GAUAACGCUGGCGGCGUGCCUAACACAUGCAAGUCGAACGCCCUGGAGCAAGUUCAGGGAGUGGCGGACGGGUGAGGAACACGUGGGUGAUCUACCUUGAGGUGAGGAAGUACCGGCGAGAAAUCGCCGACAAUACCGCAUACGUUCGUAAGAACAAAGUCGCAAGACGCCUGAAGAUGAGCCUGCGUCCGAUUAGCCAGUUGGUGGGGUAAUGGCCUACCAAAGCAGCCGAUCGGUAGCUGGUCUGAGAGGACGAUCAGCCACACUGGGAUUGAGAACGGCCCAGACUCCGUACGGGGG
Molecule: ribosomal RNA, 300 nt
Filed under: uncultured bacterium
Lineage: Bacteria
Description: bacterial SSU rRNA
Rfam family: Bacterial small subunit ribosomal RNA
Source: RNAcentral